This 250-nucleotide ribosomal RNA is filed under the name uncultured archaeon. RNAcentral's name for it is "partial 16S ribosomal RNA". It matches the Rfam family "Archaeal small subunit ribosomal RNA", at positions 734 to 982 of the family's 1478-position model. The record is from RNAcentral.
UACCCCCGUAGUCCUAGCCGUAAACGAUACUCGCUAGGUGUCGGCCACGGUGCGACCGUUGUCGGUGCCGUAGGGAAGCCGUGAAGCGAGCCACCUGGGAAGUACGGCCGCAAGGCUAGAAACUUAAAGGAAUUGGGCGGGGAGCACAACAACGGGUGGAGCUUGCGGUUUAAUUGGAUUCAACGCCGGAAAUCUUACCGGGACCGACAGCAACAUGAAGGCCAAGCUGAAGACUUUGCCGGAUUAGCUG